Molecule: ribosomal RNA, 446 nt
Filed under: uncultured bacterium
Lineage: Bacteria
Description: partial 16S ribosomal RNA
Rfam family: Bacterial small subunit ribosomal RNA
Source: RNAcentral
CCUACGGGAGGCAGCAGUGGGGGAUAUUGCACAAUGGGGGAAACCCUGAUGCAGCGACGCCGCGUGUGGGAAGACGGUCCUCUGGAUUGUAAACCACUGUCAUGUGGGAGCAAAUUAAAAAGAUAGUACCACAAGAGGAAGAGACGGCUAACUCUGUGCCAGCAGCCGCGGUAAUACAGAGGUCUCAAGCGUUGUUCGGAAUCACUGGGCGUAAAGCGUGCGUAGGCUGUUUCGUAAGUCGUGUGUGAAAGGCGCGGGCUCAACCCGCGGACGGCACAUGAUACUGCGAGACUAGAGUAAUGGAGGGGGAACCGGAAUUCUCGGUGUAGCAGUGAAAUGCGUAGAUAUCGAGAGGAACACUCGUGGCGAAGGCGGGUUCCUGGACAUUAACUGACGCUGAGGCACGAAGGCCAGGGGAGCGAAAGGGAUUAGAUACCCUUGUAGUC